Molecule: long non-coding RNA, 790 nt
Organism: Magnolia sinica
Lineage: Eukaryota; Viridiplantae; Streptophyta; Magnoliopsida; Magnoliales; Magnoliaceae
Exons: 5
Source: RefSeq, a predicted model, not a curated record
UAGCCCGCGUGUCCAUUUCUCUCAUUCCCUCUCUCACAAACUGAAAUUUUCAUCUCCCUCCCACUCGUGAGAUAAAAAACCUAAACCAUCCCCUCUCUCUCGAUCUCCCGCGCGUCCCUUUCUCUCUCUCGAUCUCUCAAACCCUCUCUCAUGAAUACUCCCCUCUCACGAACCCAUCUUCUCUCCCCAGCCACCCCCUGUCUCUCAAUCUCAUGAAGACUCCCCUCUUACGACAUAAUCUGCGUCUAUUUUAGCAUGUUAUGUCAGAACCCUUUGACCCAUCACCUUUCAUGCCUCCUGUUACCAAGGGGUUUGAUGACGACUUUGAUACAACGACUAGAAGGCAACAAAGAAGCCAAGUUGCUGCCUUAGUUAGAUCAUCAACUAGUGAAAAAGUGGCUGGUUUAAAGGAGAGCAACCUAGUGAAGAUUAGAUAAAAGUUAUGGUAUGUUGCUUCCAUUCUUUACUACCAGCCACUCACCAUCUGAGACGUUUGUCCACUAAGCAUGUUUGCAUGCCAGGUUCGAAAAAGGCCUUUGAACAAGGAGCUGUCUCGAAAAGAAGAGGAUAUUGAAACCAUCUAUGAUAAUGCAUACUUAACUGUUCAUGAGCCAAAGCUAAAGGUUUCCUUUUUGCUUGCAUUACUCCUAUCCUUAUUGCAUGGAUAUAUUCAGAGAUUCUGGAGUAUAAUAGAUCUUCAUCUCCUCCCAAAGUGUGUUGUUUCUUACUAUCUUGUGGUGGAUGAUAGUGUCCAUGGCCAAUAGAAGAUCAUGAACUCAAGGUGAAGGAC